This 338-nucleotide ribosomal RNA is filed under the name uncultured bacterium. RNAcentral describes it as "bacterial SSU rRNA". It matches the Rfam family "Bacterial small subunit ribosomal RNA", at positions 57 to 398 of the family's 1533-position model. The record is from RNAcentral.
GCAGUCGACGGUACAGGAAAAGCCGCUGUUUGCGACGAGCGGCGGAGGGGUGAGUAUGUCCGGGAAACCGCCCGAUGGAGGGGGAUAACUACUGGAAACGGUAGCUAAUACCGCAUAACGUCGCAAGACCAAAGAGGGGGACCCUCGGGCCUCUUCGCCAUCGGACGUGCCCAGAUGGGAUUAGCUUGUUGGUGGGGUAACGGCUCACCAAGGCGACGAUCCCUAGCUGGUCUGAGAGGAUGACCAGCCACACUGGAACUGAGACACGGUCCAGACUCCUACGGGAGGCAGCAGUGGGGAAUAUUGCACAAUGGGCGCAAGCCUGAUGCAGCCAUGCC